GUCGAGCGGACUGAUGGGAGCUUGCUCCCAUCAGUCAGCGGCGGACGGGUGAGUAACACGUGGGUAACCUGCCUGUAAGACUGGGAUAACUCCGGGAAACCGGGGCUAAUACCGGAUAACUCAUUUCCUCGCAUGAGGAAAUGUUGAAAGGUGGCUUUUAGCUAUCACUUACAGAUGGACCCGCGGCGCAUUAGCUAGUUGGUGAGGUAACGGCUCACCAAGGCGACGAUGCGUAGCCGACCUGAGMGGGUGCUAAAAACACACUGGGACUGAGACACGGCMAANACUCAUACGGGAGGCAGCAGUAGGGAAUCUUCCGCAAUGGACGAAAGUCUGACGGAGCAACGCCGCGUGAGUGAUGAAGGUUUUCGGAUCGUAAAACUCUGUUGUUAGGGAAGAACAAGUACCGUUCGAAUAGGGCGGUACCUUGACGGUACCUAACCAGAAAGCCACGGCUAACUACGUGCCAGCAGCCGCGGUAAUACGUAGGUGGCAAGCGUUGUCCGGAAUUAUUGGGCGUAAAGCGCGCGCAGGUGGUUCCUUAAGUCUGAUGUGAAAGCCCACGGCUCAACCGUGGAGGGUCAUUGGAAACUGGGGGACUUGAGUGCAGAAGAGGAAAGUGGAAUUCCAAGUGUAGCGGUGAAAUGCGUAGAUAUUUGGAGGAACACCAGUGGCGAAGGCGACUUUCUGGUCUGUAACUGACACUGAGGCGCGAAAGCGUGGGGAGCAAACAGGAUUAGAUACCCUGGUAGUCCACGCCGUAAACGAUGAGUGCUAAGUGUUAGGGGGGUUUCCGCCCCUUAG
This 804-nucleotide ribosomal RNA is filed under the name bacterium GD04SAN25%. Its description in RNAcentral is "bacterial SSU rRNA". It matches the Rfam family "Bacterial small subunit ribosomal RNA", at positions 61 to 843 of the family's 1533-position model. The record is from RNAcentral.